This 468-nucleotide ribosomal RNA is filed under the name uncultured bacterium. RNAcentral describes it as "partial 16S ribosomal RNA". It matches the Rfam family "Bacterial small subunit ribosomal RNA", at positions 28 to 507 of the family's 1533-position model. The record is from RNAcentral.
GACGAACGCUGGCGGCGGGCUUAACACAUGCAAGUCGAACGGAAAGGCCGUGCUUGCGUGGGGUGCCCGAGUGGCAAACGUGUGAGUAACACGUGAGUAACCUGCCCUUGACUUUGGGAUGACUUCAGGAAACUGGGGCUAAUACCGGAUAGCAGCUGCUGCUGCAUGGUGGGGGUUGGAAAGUUUCGGCGGUUGGGGAUGGACGGGCGGCUUACCAGCUUGUUGGUUGGGGAGUGGCUUACCGAGGCAUUGGCUGGUAGCCGGCCUGAGAGGGUGACCGGCCACAUGGGGCCUGCGGUACGGACCAGAGGGCAACGGGAGACAGUAGGGGGGAAUAUUGCACAAUGGGCGGGAGCGUGAUAAAGAGACGUCGGGUGCGGGAUGACGGCCUGCGGGGUGGGAACCGCAGUAGCUUAUGACGAAGCGGGAGUGACGGUAAUGGGUGAAGAAGCACCGGCUAACUACGUG